RNAcentral lists this ribosomal RNA (618 nucleotides) under Triticum aestivum (bread wheat). RNAcentral's name for it is "partial small subunit ribosomal RNA". The record is from RNAcentral. Lineage: Eukaryota; Viridiplantae; Streptophyta; Magnoliopsida; Poales; Poaceae.
AUGGACAGGGAGGCGCAUAAACCUAGGGAGUUCAGGUUUGAUCUGGCCUGGCUUAAAAAUGAGGACUUUUUACCCUUAGUGGACAAAAUCUGGAAUAAAGCGGUUAAAGCCGAAGAUCCUAUUGAUAUUCUUAAUAUCAAACUAAAAAGGUUUAAAACCUUCUUCAAAGGGUGGGGGUCCAACAAGUACGACCAUACCAAGAAGAGAAAAGAAGAAUUAAGAGUGGAACUGUCCACUCUUGAGGAUCUCGAAGAAGAGGGACCUCUGACCCCUGAGAUGUAUAGUAGAAAGGUGGAUAUUAAUUUUGAACUUCAUGAGAUUCUGGUGAAUGAGGAGAUUUUCUGGCUACAACAAUCCCAUGAGCGUUGGCUGCUCAAAGGGGAUUUGAACACAGAUUACUUUCAUAAAAUUGCAAAUGGGCGAAAAAGGAAGAAUACCAUUCAUGCCCUCAAAUAUGGCGAUGUCGAGAUAGAAGGAACUGAUAACCUUAUCUCACAUGCCACAGAGUUUUAUAAAAACCUUUUCGGCCCAGCCCCAGGCAACUUAUUUCACAUGGAUCCUGGCUCAUGGGAUGAAUCGGAAAAACUUACUCAAGAGGAUAAUGUUGAUUUGACUAGA